CCUACGGGAGGCAGCAGUGGGGAAUAUUGGACAAUGGGGGAAACCCUGAUCCAGCCAUGCCGCGUGAGUGAUGAAGGCCUUAGGGUUGUAAAGCUCUUUCGUCGGGGAAGAUAAUGACGGUACCCGAAGAAGAAGCCUCGGCUAACUCCGUGCCAGCAGCCGCGGUAAGACGGAGGAGGCUAGCGUUGUUCGGAAUUACUGGGCGUAAAGCGUGCGCAGGUUGUGAGUUCAGUCUGAUGUGAAAGCCCGGGGCUCAACCUCGGAUGUGCAUUAGAUACUGACUUGCUGGAGGUUGGAAGAGGUGAGUGGAAUUCCCAGUGUAGAGGUGAAAUUCGUAGAUAUUGGGAAGAACACCAGUGGCGAAGGCGGCUCUCUGGUCCACACCUGACACUCAAGCACGAAAGCGUGGGGAGCAAACAGGAUUAGAUACCCUAGUAGUCC
This 441-nucleotide ribosomal RNA is filed under the name uncultured Alphaproteobacteria bacterium. RNAcentral's name for it is "bacterial SSU rRNA". It matches the Rfam family "Bacterial small subunit ribosomal RNA", at positions 338 to 796 of the family's 1533-position model. Lineage: Bacteria; Pseudomonadati; Pseudomonadota; Alphaproteobacteria. The record is from RNAcentral.